RNAcentral lists this ribosomal RNA (759 nucleotides) under Salmonella enterica subsp. enterica serovar Schwarzengrund. RNAcentral describes it as "partial 23S ribosomal RNA". It matches the Rfam family "Bacterial large subunit ribosomal RNA", at positions 2184 to 2925 of the family's 2925-position model. The record is from RNAcentral. Lineage: Bacteria; Pseudomonadati; Pseudomonadota; Gammaproteobacteria; Enterobacterales; Enterobacteriaceae.
AGCCGGCCUUGAAAUACCACCCUUUAAUGUUUGAUGUUCUAACGUGGACCCGUGAUCCGGGUUGCGGACAGUGUCUGGUGGGUAGUUUGACUGGGGCGGUCUCCUCCUAAAGAGUAACGGAGGAGCACGAAGGUUGGCUAAUCCUGGUCGGACAUCAGGAGGUUAGUGCAAUGGCAUAAGCCAGCUUGACUGCGAGCGUGACGGCGCGAGCAGGUGCGAAAGCAGGUCAUAGUGAUCCGGUGGUUCUGAAUGGAAGGGCCAUCGCUCAACGGAUAAAAGGUACUCCGGGGAUAACAGGCUGAUACCGCCCAAGAGUUCAUAUCGACGGCGGUGUUUGGCACCUCGAUGUCGGCUCAUCACAUCCUGGGGCUGAAGUAGGUCCCAAGGGUAUGGCUGUUCGCCAUUUAAAGUGGUACGCGAGCUGGGUUUAGAACGUCGUGAGACAGUUCGGUCCCUAUCUGCCGUGGGCGCUGGAGAACUGAGGGGGGCUGCUCCUAGUACGAGAGGACCGGAGUGGACGCAUCACUGGUGUUCGGGUUGUCAUGCCAAUGGCACUGCCCGGUAGCUAAAUGCGGAAGAGAUAAGUGCUGAAAGCAUCUAAGCACGAAACUUGCCCCGAGAUGAGUUCUCCCUGAGACUUAGAGUCUCCUGAAGGAACGUUGAAGACGACGACGUUGAUAGGCCGGGUGUGUAAGCGCAGCGAUGCGUUGAGCUAACCGGUACUAAUGAACCGUGAGGCUUAACCUUACAACGCCGAAG